UCUGGUUGAUCCUGCCUGAACUGAUGUGUUCAUUUCAAAGAUUAAGCCAUGCAUGUAUAAGUUUAAUCGUUUUAACGAGAAACCGCGAACGGCUCAUUACAAUGGCCAUGAUUUACUUGAUCUUGAUUAUCUAAAUGGAUAACUGUGGAAAAGCUAGAGCUAAUACAUGCACCAAAGCUUUGUCCUCUCGGAAAAGCGCAUUUAUUAGAACAAACCACGCGGCUUCGGCUGCUUCUUGUUGACUCAGAAUAACUAAGCUGACCGCAUGGCCUUGUGCCGGCGGCGUGUCUUUCAAGCGUCCACUUUAUCAACUUGACGGGAGCAUAAUCGACUCCCGUGGUGGUGACGGAUAACGGAGGAUCAGGGUUCGACUCCGGAGAAGGGGCCUGAGAAAUGGCCACUACGUCUAAGGAUGGCAGCAGGCGCGCAAAUUACCCACUCUCGGCUCGAGGAGGUAGUGACGAGAAAUAACGAGACCGUUCUCUUUGAGGCCGGUCAUCGGAAUGGGUACAAUUUAAACCCUUUAACGAGUAUCAAGCAGAGGGCAAGUCUGGUGCCAGCAGCCGCGGUAAUUCCAGCUCUGCUAAUACAUAGAAUUAUUGCUGCGGUUAAAAAGCUCGUAGUUGGAUUCGUAUCGGUACCCUGGAACCCUCCGGGUGUUUCUGGGUGUUAUCGAUUUAUCGUAAUGUUCGGUUUUGAGUCCUUAACAGGAUUCUUAACAGGCAUUGCAAGUUUACUUUGAACAAAUCAGAGUGCUUCAAACAGGCGUUUUCGCUUGAAUGAUCGUGCAUGGAAUAAUAGAAAACGAUUUCGGUUCAGUUUUAUUGGUUUUACGGACUGAGAUAAUGGUUAACAGAGACAAACGGGGCAUUUGUAUGGCCCCGUGAGAGGUGAAAUUCUUGGACCGUGGCCAGACAAACUACAGCGAAAGCAUUUGCCAAGAAUGUCUUCAUUAAUCAAGAACGAAAGUCAGAGGUUCGAAGGCGAUCAGAUACCGCCCUAGUUCUGACCGUAAACGAUGCCAACUAGCGAUCCGCCGAUGGAAAUUAUAUUGCCUUGGUGGGGAGCUUCCCGGAAACGAAAGUCUUCCGGUUCCGGGGGAAGUAUGGUUGCAAAGCUGAAACUUAAAGGAAUUGACGGAAGGGCACCACCAGGAGUGGAGCCUGCGGCUUAAUUUGACUCAACACGGGGAAACUCACCCGGCCCGGACACUGUGAGGAUUGACAGAUUGAUAGCUUUUUCAUGAUUCAGUGGAUGGUGGUGCAUGGCCGUUCUUAGUUCGUGGAGUGAUUUGUCUGGUUUAUUCCGAUAACGAGCGAGACUCUAACCUACUAAAUAGCUGGUACAUAAUUGUGUAUACAGCUUCUUAGAGGGAUUUGCGGUGUUCAGCCGAAAGAAAUUGAGCAAUAACAGGUCUGUGAUGCCCUUAGAUGUCCGGGGCUGCACGCGCGCUACACUGGCAAAAUCAACGUGCUUGUCCUACCCCGAAAGGGCGGGUAAACCAUUGAAAAUUUGCCGUGAUUGGGAUCGGAAAUUGCAAUUAUUUUCCGUGAACGAGGAAUUCCAAGUAAGUGCGAGUCAUCAGCUCGCGUUGAUUACGUCCCUGCCCUUUGUACACACCGCCCGUCGCUGCCCGGGACUGAGCCAUUUCGAGAAAUUUGGGGACCGUUGAUUUAAUUUUUCUAAAUUACUUUGAUGGAAACCAAUUUAAUCGCAGUGGCUUGAACCGGGCAAAAGUCGUAACAAGGUAGCUGUAGGUGAACCUGCUGCUG
Molecule: ribosomal RNA, 1772 nt
Filed under: Meloidogyne arenaria
Lineage: Eukaryota; Metazoa; Nematoda; Chromadorea; Rhabditida; Meloidogynidae
Description: SSU rRNA
Rfam family: Eukaryotic small subunit ribosomal RNA
Source: RNAcentral